RNAcentral lists this ribosomal RNA (506 nucleotides) under uncultured bacterium. Its description in RNAcentral is "partial 16S ribosomal RNA". It matches the Rfam family "Bacterial small subunit ribosomal RNA", at positions 29 to 523 of the family's 1533-position model. The record is from RNAcentral.
AUUGAACGCUGGCGGCAGGCCUAACACAUGCAAGUCGGACGGUAGCACAGAGGAGCUUGCUCCUCGGGUGACGAGUGGCGGACGGGUGAGUAAUGUCUGGGGAUCUGCCCGAUAGAGGGGGAUAACCACUGGAAACGGUGGCUAAUACCGCAUAACGUCGCAAGACCAAAGAGGGGGAACUUCGGGCCUCUCACUAUCUGAUGAACCCAGAUGAGAUUAGCUAGUAGGCGGGGUAAUGGCCCACCUAGGCGACGAUCCCUAGCUGGUCUGAGAGGAUGACCAGCCACACUGGAACUGAGACACGGUCCAGACUCCUACGGGAGGCAGCAGUGGGGAAUAUUGCACAAUGGGCGCAAGCCUGAUGCAGCCAUGCCGCGUGUAUGAAGAAGGCCUUCGGGUUGUAAAGUACUUUCAGCGGGGAGGAAGGCGGUGAGGUUAAUAACCUUGCCGAUUGACGUUACCCGCAGAAGAAGCACCGGCUAACUCCGUGCCAGCCGCCGCGGUAA